CCUGGUUCAGAUUGAACGCUGGCGGCAUGCUUUACACAUGCAAGUCGAACGGUAACAGGGUGCUUGCACCGCUGACGAGUGGCGAACGGGUGAGUAAUAUAUCGGAACGUACCUAGUAAUGGGGGAUAACUAUCCGAAAGGAUAGCUAAUACCGCAUACGCCCUGAGGGGGAAAGAGGGGGAUCGCAAGACCUCUCGUUAUUAGAGCGGCCGAUAUCAGAUUAGCUAGUUGGUGAGGUAAAGGCUCACCAAGGCCACGAUCUGUAGCGGGUCUUAGAGGACGAUCCGCCACACUGGAACUGAGACACGGUCCAGACUCCUACGGGAGGCAGCAGUGGGGAAUCUUGGACAAUGGGCGCAAGCCUGAUCCAGCAAUGCCGCGUGCGUGAAGAAGGCCUUCGGGUUGUAAAGCGCUUUUGUUCGGGAGGAAAUCCUAGGGGCUAAUACCUCUUGGGGAUGACAGUACCGGAAGAAUAAGACCGG
RNAcentral lists this ribosomal RNA (482 nucleotides) under Iodobacter sp. 01WB03.2-41. RNAcentral's name for it is "bacterial SSU rRNA". It matches the Rfam family "Bacterial small subunit ribosomal RNA", at positions 18 to 495 of the family's 1533-position model. The record is from RNAcentral. Lineage: Bacteria; Pseudomonadati; Pseudomonadota; Betaproteobacteria; Neisseriales; Chitinibacteraceae.